UACGUAGGGUGCAAGCGUUGUCCGGAAAUUAUUGGGCGUAAAGAGCUCGUAGGCGGUUUGUCGCGUCGGCUGUGAAAACUCGGGGCUCAACCCCGAGCCUGCAGUCGAUACGGGCAGACUAGAGUGCUGUAGGGGAGACUGGAAUUCUGGUGUAGCGGUGAAAUGCGCAGAUAUCAGGAGGAACACCGAUGGCGAAGGCAGGUCACUGGGCCGCAAGCUGACGACU
This 226-nucleotide ribosomal RNA is filed under the name uncultured bacterium. RNAcentral's name for it is "partial 16S ribosomal RNA". It matches the Rfam family "Bacterial small subunit ribosomal RNA", at positions 524 to 747 of the family's 1533-position model. The record is from RNAcentral.